CGAUUCAGCGGCGGACGGGUGAGUAAUACCUAGGAAUCUGCCUGGUAGUGGGGGACAACGUUUCGAAAGGAACGCUAAUACCGCAUACGUCCUACGGGAGAAAGCAGGGGACCUUCGGGCCUUGCGCUAUCAGAUGAGCCUAGGUCGGAUUAGCUAGUUGGUGAGGUAAUGGCUCACCAAGGCGACGAUCCGUAACUGGUCUGAGAGGAUGAUCAGUCACACUGGAACUGAGACACGGUCCAGACUCCUACGGGAGGCAGCAGUGGGGAAUAUUGGACAAUGGGCGAAAGCCUGAUCCAGCCAUGCCGCGUGUGUGAAGAAGGUCUUCGGAUUGUAAAGCACUUUAAGUUGGGAGGAAGGGUACUUACCUAAUACGUGAGUAUUUUGACGUUACCGACAGAAUAAGCACCGGCUAACUCUGUGCCAGCAGCCGCGGUAAUACAGAGGGUGCAAGCGUUAAUCGGAAUUACUGGGCGUAAAGCGCGCGUAGGUGGUUUGUUAAGUUGAAUGUGAAAUCCCCGGGCUCAACCUGGGAACUGCAUCCAAAACUGGCAAGCUAGAGUAGGGCAGAGGGUGGUGGAAUUUCCUGUGUAGCGGUGAAAUGCGUAGAUAUAGGAAGGAACACCAGUGGCGAAGGCGACCACCUGGGCUCAUACUGAC
RNAcentral lists this ribosomal RNA (660 nucleotides) under Pseudomonas sp. AR-332. Its description in RNAcentral is "bacterial SSU rRNA". It matches the Rfam family "Bacterial small subunit ribosomal RNA", at positions 88 to 744 of the family's 1533-position model. Lineage: Bacteria; Pseudomonadati; Pseudomonadota; Gammaproteobacteria; Pseudomonadales; Pseudomonadaceae. The record is from RNAcentral.